RNAcentral lists this ribosomal RNA (3216 nucleotides) under groundwater metagenome. Its description in RNAcentral is "bacterial LSU rRNA". It matches the Rfam family "Bacterial large subunit ribosomal RNA". The record is from RNAcentral.
AGCCAAAGUUAAGAGCGUAUGGUGGAUGCCUUGGCAUAAACGGCCUAAGAAGGACGCGGCGUGGCUGCGAUAAGCCUCGGGGAGGUGCUGAGCAACCUUUGAUCCGGGGAUGUCCGAAUGGGGUAACCUACUGUGCAGUUUAAUGCGCAGUGCUGAUUCGGUGAAAGCCGAUGAUGCGGGAACUCGGUGAAGCGAAACUUCAUAGUAACCGAAGGAAAAGAAAAGACGUUUACUUUAUUUACAUCCAGCGAGAGCUGUGCAAAUAUCUUUUUGCUUAGCUUUUGCUGAGUGUUUAAUAAAGUGAAUCAUUCCCUUAGUAGCGGUGAGCGAAAGGGGAAGAGCUCAAACCCGUUGCGACGCAAGUUGCGAUGGGGGUUGUAAGGUAGAGAUUUCUUCGUAAGAAGAGGGAGUGUACAAGUUGAGUUAAGUAGCUGAAGGCCCUGGAACGGGCCACCAAAGAGGGGAACCGUCCCGUAAGCGAAAUUUAAUUCAUACUUCUUGUCUCUAUUCUUGAGUAGCUCGGGGAACGACAGCCCCGAGUGAAUCCGGGUCGACUAGCGACCCAAAGCUAAAUACCGUUUGUGACCGAUAGUGAACAAGUACCGCGAGGGAAAGGUGAAAAGUAGCCCGGUGAGGGCAGUGAAAUAGAACCUGAAACCAUAUGCUUACAAAGAGUCGGAGCUCAGCUCUACACUUGCUGUUUAAGGCGAACUUAUAUAAAACCACGAAUUACACUGAUAGUUUAUACGAUAAGUUUUGAUAUUGAAUGGCAAAUGUAGGGCUGAGUGACGGCGUGCUUUUUGCAGAACGAUCCGGCGAGUUUAUGUGUACUGCUGCUUAAGUCGUUUUCACGAUGAAGGCGCAGGGAAACCAAGUCUUAAUAGGGCGUAACCUUACAUAAUUGCGUAUGGCUCGUGGCCGUCCCAUCCAUUCGGAUCGGGGUUGCCAUAUGCCAUUCGCUCAUAUGUUCUGGUAAGUAGGACACAUAAGACCCGAAGCCAGGUGAGCUACCCAUGACCAGGAUGAACCCUGUCGAAAGACUGGGGGAGGUCCGAACCCGUUAGCCGUGCAAUACUAUGGGAUGAGUUGUGGGUAGAAGUGAAAAGCUCAUCGAACCUGGUAAUAGCUGGUUCUCUCCGAAAUAUCUUUCGGGAUAGCGUCGCGUAGUACCCUCGGAGGUAGAGCACUGAAUGGUCUUCAUUGGCGCAAGCCAGGAAGACCAACCAAACUCCGAAUGCCGAGGGGCAAUAUGCGGCAGUUAGACUGCGGGGGCUAAGCUCCGUAGUCAAAAGGGAAAAAGCCCAGACCGCCAUCUAAGGUCCCCAAAUCUUCGCUAAGUGCAAAUUUCAAGGAGGUGCGAUUUCUCAGACACCUAGGAGGUUGGCUUAGAAGCAGCCAUCCUUUAAAGAAAGCGUAACAGCUCACUAGUUCAGAGAUUGCGCGCCGAAAAUGUAUGGGGCUAAGCGAAGUACCGACGAUGCGGAUUUUCCGUCGCAAGAUGGAAAGUGGUAGGAGAGCUUCUUCUGUGCAGCGAAGCAGAACUGUGAAGUUUUGUGGAGCGCAGAGGAGUGAGAAUGCCGGAAUGAGUAACCACAAGUCCUGUGAGAACCAGGACCGCCGGAAGCCUAAGGUUUCCUUGGCAAUGACAAUCAACCAAGGGUGAGUCGGUCCUAAGGCCAACCCGAAAGGGGUAGCCGAUGGACAGCAGGUUAAUAUUCCUGCACUCCGUUCAUAUCCGAAAAGGAGGGACAGAGAUGAGUAAUCAACGCGCGUUAUUGGAUUCGCGUCUGCGUUUCGAAGAAGCUUGCGAGGCAAAUCCCGCAAGGUCCUUAAGUGGAACUUUUCGAAGGAACGCAGGGAAUUCCCAUUAUGGGGAGAACGUUGGCGAGCCGUCUCUCGAGAAAAUCUUCUAAGGUUAAUAUGAGCGGAACCGUACCGAAGACCGACACAGGUGGGCUGGUAUAAAUGUACCAAGGCGAACGAGUGAUUCUUCGUUAAGGAACUCGGCAAAAAAGUGGCCGUAAGUUCGUCAAUAUGGCCUGCCCUGCGCAAGCAGGGCCGCAGCUAAUGACCCCUAGCGACUGUUUAUCAAAAACACAGGUCCCUGCUAACUCGUAAGAGGAUGUAUAGGGGCUGACGCCUGUCCAGUGCUGGAACCUUAACGGUUGCGGUGGUAUGUACAGAGAUUAUAUCAAUGUGUGUAUUGCUAAAGCCCGAAGGGCCAGUGAACGACAGCGAUAACUAUAAUCGUUCUAAGGUAGCGAAAUUCCUUGGCAUGUAAGUUAUGUCCCGCACGAAUGGCGUAACGACUGGGGGACUGUCUCAACGAAGAGCUCGGUGAAAAUGCAAUGACCGUGAAGAUGCGGUCUACCUGCGGCUAGACGAAAAGACCCCGGAAGCUUCACUACAGCUUGAUAUUGGCGAUGCUUCCUAAAUGCGUAGCAUAGGUGGGAGAGGUUGAAGUCUCGUUUUCGGACGAGAUGGACUCGACAGUGAAAUACCACUCUUUUAGGGCGCUUCGUUCUAACUUGGUUGCGUUAGCAGCGCAACGAGGACAGUGUCUGGCGGGUAGUUUUGGUGGGGUGCUAUCCUCCCAAAAAGUAACGGAGGAGUUUAUUAAGGUUGGCUAGCUCCGGAUGGAAAUCGGAGCGGUAGCGUAAAGGCACAAGCCAGCUUUACAGCGAGACCUAUAAGUCGAGCUGUUGCGAAAGCAGAACUUAGUGAACCGACCAUUCGACGUAGUAGGAUGGAAGAUCAUCAGACAAAAGCUACUCCGGGGAUAACAGGCUGGUGAAGCCCAAGCGUCCAUAGCGACGGCUUCGCUCGGCACCUCGAUGUCGGCUCAUCUUAUCCUGGGGGUGGAGAAGCUCCCAAGGGUUUGGCUGUUCGCCAAUUAAAAAGAUACGUGAGCUGGGUUCAAACCGUCGCGAGACAGGUUGGUCUCCUAUCUGUCGCAGGCGUAGAAUUUUGAGGGGACUUGUUCCUAGUACGAGAGGACCGGAAUGAACUGACCUCUGGUGUACCGGCUGUUCUGCCAAGAGCACUGCCGGGUAGCUAUGUCAGGAACAGAUAAGCGCUGAAAGCAUAUAAGCGCGAAGCUGGCCCCAAGAUUAGAAUUCAUAGCAUCCUGGGAGAUGACCAGGUAAUUGCUGUUUGUAUGGAAUUGCCGAUUGUUCGAAGCGCAAGCAGAGAACAAAGAGCGAGGAAAUACAAAAA